RNAcentral lists this ribosomal RNA (486 nucleotides) under uncultured bacterium. RNAcentral's name for it is "partial 16S ribosomal RNA". It matches the Rfam family "Bacterial small subunit ribosomal RNA", at positions 28 to 507 of the family's 1533-position model. The record is from RNAcentral.
GACGAACGCUGGCGGCGUGCUUAACACAUGCAAGUCGAACGCUGAAGACCUGGCUUUUGUUGGGUUGGAUGAGUGGCGAACGGGUGAGUAACACGUGAGUAACCUGCCCUCUUCUUUGGGAUAACGCCCGGAAACGGGUGCUAAUACUGGAUAUUCACUGCUCUUCGCAUGGGGGUUGGUGGAAAGGUUUGUUCUGGUGGGGGAUGGGCUCGCGGCCUAUCAGCUUGUUGGUGGGGUGAUGGCCUACCAAGGCUUUGACGGGUAGCCGGCCUGGGAGGGUGACCGGUCACAUUGGGACUGAGAUACGGCCCAGACUCCUACGGGAGGCAGCAGUGGGGAAUAUAGCACAAUGGGCGAAAGCAUGAUGCAGCGACGCCGCGUGAGGGAUGGAGGCCUGCGGGGUGUAAACCUCUUUCGCUCAUGGUCAAGCCGCAACUGUGGGUUGUGGUGAGGGUAGUGGGUAAAGAAGCGCCGGCUAACUACGUG